UACAGAGGCCCCAAGCGUUACUGAGAAUCACUGGGUUUAAAGGGUGCGUAGGUGGUCCGUUAAGUUCGUUGUGAAAGCCCUGGGCUCAACCCAGGAACUGCUUCGAAUACUGGCGGACUUGAGGCGAGUACGGGUCACUGGAACUGACGGUGGAGCGGUGAAAUGCGUAGAGAUCGGCAGGAACACCCAGGGGGAAACCAGUCGACUGGGCAGCACCUGACGCUGAGGUGCGAGAGCGUGGGGAGCGAACCGG
This 253-nucleotide ribosomal RNA is filed under the name uncultured bacterium. Its description in RNAcentral is "partial 16S ribosomal RNA". It matches the Rfam family "Bacterial small subunit ribosomal RNA", at positions 524 to 776 of the family's 1533-position model. The record is from RNAcentral.